AAAGUCCGCCAGGCAGUCGCCGCUUGAAUUUAUUCAAGGGGAGGAAAGUCCGGGCUCCAAAGGGUAAGGUGCCAGGUAACGCCUGGGGGGUGUGAACCCACGGCCAGUGCAACAGAGAGCAAACCGCCAACCCCGCAUUGCGGGCGGUAAGGGUGAAAGGGUGCGGUAAGAGCGCACCGCGUUGGUGGCAACAUUCAACGGCAUGGUAAACCCCACCUGGAGCAAGACCAAAUAGGGUUCCUAUAGGCGUGACCCGCGCUGGAACCGGGUAGGUCGCUUGAGAUUUAUGGUGACAUAAGUCCUAGAUGAAUGGCUGUCCAUGACAGAACCCGGCUUAUGGCGGGCUUUCAAA
RNAcentral lists this RNase P RNA (352 nucleotides) under Oceanospirillaceae bacterium. Its description in RNAcentral is "RNase P RNA component class A". It matches the Rfam family "Bacterial RNase P class A". From Rfam's summary of the family: Ribonuclease P (RNase P) is a ubiquitous endoribonuclease, found in archaea, bacteria and eukarya as well as chloroplasts and mitochondria. The record is from RNAcentral. Lineage: Bacteria; Pseudomonadati; Pseudomonadota; Gammaproteobacteria; Oceanospirillales; Oceanospirillaceae.